Molecule: signal recognition particle RNA, 280 nt
Filed under: Cebus imitator (Panamanian white-faced capuchin)
Lineage: Eukaryota; Metazoa; Chordata; Mammalia; Primates; Cebidae
Description: Metazoan signal recognition particle RNA (ENSCCAG00000008392.1)
Rfam family: Metazoan signal recognition particle RNA
About the family: The signal recognition particle (SRP) is a universally conserved ribonucleoprotein. It is involved in the co-translational targeting of proteins to membranes.
Source: RNAcentral
GCCUGUAGUCCCAGCUACUUAGGAGGCUGAGGUGUGUCAGUUGCUUGAACUCAGGGGUUCCGGGUUGUAGUGCACUGUGCAGCUCGGAUGUCUGCAUUAAGUUCGACAUCAAUAUGGUGACCUUCUGGAAGCAGGGGACUACCAGGUUACCUAAGGAGAAGUGAAUUAGCCCAGGUCAGAAAUGGAGUAGGUAAAUACUCCCGGACUGAUUAGUAGUGGGAUAUCGCCUGUGUUUAGCCACUGCACCCCAGCCUGUGAAAUGUAGCAAGACCCUGUCUCU